Molecule: non-coding RNA, 114 nt
Organism: Acanthosepion pharaonis
Lineage: Eukaryota; Metazoa; Mollusca; Cephalopoda; Sepiida; Sepiidae
Source: the annotation of a GenBank genome assembly
UUAUGGCCAUAUCACAUUGAAACACUGGUUCUUGUCUGAUCACCUAAGUUAAGCAACAUUGAAUGUGGUCAGUACCGACAUGGGUGACCACUUGGGAAUACCAGGUGCUGUAAG